This 119-nucleotide ribosomal RNA is filed under the name Triticum dicoccoides. Lineage: Eukaryota; Viridiplantae; Streptophyta; Magnoliopsida; Poales; Poaceae. The record is from RNAcentral.
GGAUGCGAUCAUACCAGCACUAAAGCACCGGAUCCCAUCAAAACUCCGAAGUUAAGCGUGCUUGGGCGAGAGUAGUACUAGGAUGGGUGACCUCUUGGGAAGUCCUUGUGUUGCAUUUC